RNAcentral lists this transfer RNA (76 nucleotides) under Arabidopsis thaliana (thale cress). RNAcentral describes it as "tRNA-Arg(CCG)". It matches the Rfam family "tRNA". Rfam says of the family: Transfer RNA (tRNA) molecules are approximately 80 nucleotides in length. Their secondary structure includes four short double-helical elements and three loops (D, anti-codon, and T loops). Further hydrogen bonds mediate the characteristic L-shaped molecular structure. tRNAs have two regions of fundamental functional importance: the anti-codon, which is responsible for specific mRNA codon recognition, and the 3' end, to which the tRNAs corresponding amino acid is attached (by aminoacyl-tRNA synthetases). tRNAs cope with the degeneracy of the genetic code in two manners: having more than one tRNA (with a specific anti-codon) for a particular amino acid; and 'wobble' base-pairing, i.e. permitting non-standard base-pairing at the 3rd anti-codon position. Lineage: Eukaryota; Viridiplantae; Streptophyta; Magnoliopsida; Brassicales; Brassicaceae. The record is from RNAcentral.
GAUCCCAUAGCGGAGUGGAUAUCGCGUUAGACUCCGAAUCUAAAGGUCGUGGGUUCGAUUCCCACUGGGAUCAUCC